This 1179-nucleotide long non-coding RNA is filed under the name Homo sapiens (human). Its description in RNAcentral is "HSALNT0380758". The record is from RNAcentral. Lineage: Eukaryota; Metazoa; Chordata; Mammalia; Primates; Hominidae.
ACUAAGCAAGGAGUGAGAGCUCUGUUGUUCUGCUGAUGGGGCUCAGUCUGUUCUUCCUCUUUUCCAACAAUCACACUUAUUUCCAGGAAAGAGUUAGCAGUAUUGAUAUAGUCCAGGGACUCCUAGAAACACCUGUUGUGUUGCUUUGGUGAGCAGAUGCUGUUCAUCUUCCAUGGCACCUGUAUUUUAUCUGCAUGGAGAAACCUCUACAUGGAUCCCUUGCAUGGGUGUUGUACAAUGGGAGCUUUCAUUCCUGCUUUGGCACCUGCAACCCUGGGUUAACAGUACCAUGGAGCGGAGAAAGCGUUUACCAGAGUGCGGUGCCGCGAUCCCACCCCGUGCAGCAGUUGAGCAGAGGUCAUCUUUAAGUAAAAGCCAUCUGAUAUUUUACUGCAAGCAUGUGGCAGUGAAGACGACAAUGACUGCUAGUAUGGUUUGUGCCACUGCCUUGAUUUCCGCUCAGGCACCAGCAGUCUUACCCACCAUUGCUUUGGUGCAGUUGGUGGAGAUAUCAAUGGAUCAAAAGCGCAAGUAAUAUGACUCGGCUCCCUAUGCCCAGUAAAUAUAAAUUUUCAGAACUGUGAUCACAGCCCUGGCUAAAUAGUGCCCCUGGUCAAACCUUCGUAGGCAAAAUGUUUUCUCCAGCUUUCUGCUAGUUCUUAGAAGCCAGUGUGAAGGAAAAGGGAUGUCAUGAAGCAUCACUCUCCAAGCUGAUCAUCUAUUCCAUUGCCUUGAGAAUUAUGUAGAAUAAAAUCACUGUCUCCCUAAAUGAUAAAAGUCUAAGACUUUGUCCCAAAGUUGGGUGUUCUCUGAGGAAUUGCUGGAGACACUAUUGCCCCCUGUGGCUAGGUAAGCUUUCCAGACACAAUCCAAGGGAAGGAAAUGCCUUUGGUGAAGGAGGAGAGACUCCUACGUGGCAUGGGGACCAGCAGCUGAGAGUGGUUGUAUGGGUAAUUCACACCAAAAGCACUCCAAAUGCUACUUUCAUCUAAAUGGACUAUAAGGGUUGUCAUCAGGCCAGGGAGAUGUAGAUAUUUCAAAUCUGAAUUUCACAGUAUUAGCAUUACAUCAAGCCAAAAAGAUUAAGAAAGUAAAUGACUGUAAUUUGUCUAAAGCAGAAUGUUUGCUAAAACCAGGCAGGUCUCUAAAAAAAAAAAAAAAGAGACAGCAGUUGAAAUU